RNAcentral lists this ribosomal RNA (263 nucleotides) under uncultured bacterium. RNAcentral's name for it is "partial 16S ribosomal RNA". It matches the Rfam family "Bacterial small subunit ribosomal RNA", at positions 524 to 786 of the family's 1533-position model. The record is from RNAcentral.
UACGUAGGGGGCAAGCGUUAUCCGGAUUUACUGGGUGUAAAGGGAGCGUAGGUGGCAAAUCAAGUCAGAUGUGAAAGCCCGGGGCUCAACUCCGGGAUUGCAUUUGAAACUGGUAUGCUAGAGUGCAGGAGAGGUAAGUGGAAUUCCUAGUGUAGCGGUGAAAUGCGUAGAUAUUAGGAGGAACACCAGUGGCGAAGGCGGCUUACUGGACUGUAACUGACACUGAGGCUCGAAAGCGUGGGGAGCAAACAGGAUUAGAUACC